This 254-nucleotide ribosomal RNA is filed under the name uncultured bacterium. RNAcentral describes it as "partial 16S ribosomal RNA". It matches the Rfam family "Bacterial small subunit ribosomal RNA", at positions 524 to 776 of the family's 1533-position model. The record is from RNAcentral.
UACGGGGGGGGCAAGCGUUGUUCGGAAUUACUGGGCGUAAAGGGUUCGUAGGUGGCCAACUAAGUCAGACGUGAAAUCCCUCAGCUCAACUGGGGAACUGCGUCUGAUACUGGUGUGGCUCGAGUGCAGGAGAGGAACGCGGAAUUCCAGGUGUAGCGGUGAAAUGCUUAGAUAUGACAUAGAACACCAAUUGCGAAGGCAGCUUACUACACAGUUAUUGACGCUGAGGCACGAAAGCGUGGGGAUCAAACAGG